ACACGCUUGGCGGCGUGCCAUACACAUGCAGGUCGAACGCGAAAGUCCCGCAAGGGAUGAGUUCAGUGGCAAACGGGUGAGUAACGCGUGGGUGACCUGCCUUCGAGUGGGGGAUAACGUUUCCAAAGGGACGCUAAUACCGCAUGACAUCCUGCCUUUGAAGAGGCGGAGAUCAAAGCCGGGGAUCGCAAGACCUGGCGCUUGAAGAGGGGCCCGCGUCUGAUUAGCUAGUUGGUGGGGUAAUGGCUCACCAAGGCAACGAUCAGUAUCCGGCCUGAGAGGGCGGACGGACACACUGGGACUGAGACACGGCCCAGACUCCUACGGGAGGCAGCAGUGGGGAAUUGUUCGCAAUGGGCGCAAGCCUGACGACGCAACGCCGCGUGGUAGGAUGAAGACCUUCGGGUCGUAAACUCCUUUCGAUCGAGACGAACGGCUCCCGGGUAAACAAUCCGGGAGAGUGACGGUACCGAGAGAACAAGCCCCGGCUAACUCCGUGCCAGCAGCCGCGGUAAUACGGGGGGGGCCAAGCGUUGUUUCGGAAUUACUGGGGCGUAAAGGGCUCGUAAGCGGCCCAACUAAAUCAAACGUGGAAACCCUCGGGCUUUAACCGGGGGAAAUGCGCUUGAAACUGGAAGGUUUGAACACUGG
This 651-nucleotide ribosomal RNA is filed under the name uncultured bacterium. RNAcentral describes it as "bacterial SSU rRNA". It matches the Rfam family "Bacterial small subunit ribosomal RNA", at positions 30 to 652 of the family's 1533-position model. The record is from RNAcentral.